This 513-nucleotide ribosomal RNA is filed under the name uncultured bacterium. Its description in RNAcentral is "partial 16S ribosomal RNA". It matches the Rfam family "Bacterial small subunit ribosomal RNA", at positions 28 to 523 of the family's 1533-position model. The record is from RNAcentral.
GAUAAACGCUGGCGGCGUGCCUAAUACAUGCAAGUCGAGCGAACAGACGAGGAGCUUGCUCCUCUGACGUUAGCGGCGGACGGGUGAGUAACACGUGGAUAACCUACCUAUAAGACUGGGAUAACUUCGGGAAACCGGAGCUAACACCGGAUAAUAUAUUGAACCGCAUGGUUCAAUAGUGAAAGACGGUUUUGCUGUCACUUAUAGAUGGAUCCGCGCCGCAUUAGCUAGUUGGUAAGGUAACGGCUUACAAAGGCAACGAUGCGUAGCCGACCUGAGAGGGUGAUCGGCCACACUGGAACUGAGACACGGUCCAGACUCCUACGGGAGGCAGCAGUAGGGAAUCUUCCGCAAUGGGCGAAAGCCUGACGGAGCAACGCCGCGUGAGUGAUGAAGGUCUUCGGAUCGUAAAACUCUGUUAUUAGGGAAGAACAAAUGUGUAAGUAACUAUGCACGUCUUGACGGUACCUAAUCAGAAAGCCACGGCUAACUACGUGCCAGCCGCCGCCGUAA